AGUCAUAUGCUUGUCUCAAAGAUUAAGCCAUGCAUGUCUAAGUAUAAGUUCUAUACAGCGAAACUGUGAAUGGCUCAUUAUAACAGUUAUGAUUUCCUAGCCGGUCAGUUAUUCAUUGGAUACCCAUGGUAAUUCUAGAGCUAAUACAUGCUUACAGACCCAACUUCACGGAAGGGUUGCACUUAUUAGAUACCGAACCAGCCCAAGCUCUGCUUGGUUUUUGUUGAUUCAUAGUAGUCUGGCGAAUCGCCUAUCGAGGCGAUGAGGCUAUCAAGUUUCUGACCUAUCAGCUUCCGAUGGUAGUGUAUUGGACUACCAUGGCGGUGACGGGUAACGGAGAAUUAGGGUUCGAUUCCGGAGAGGGAGCCUGAGAAAUGGCUACCACAUCCAAGGAAGGCAGCAGGCGCGUAAAUUACCCAAUCCCAAUUCGGGGAGGUAGUGACAAUAAAUAUCAAUGCGGGGCACACAGUGUCUUGCAAUUGGAAUGAGUACAAUUUAAAUCCCUUAACGAGGACCCAU
This 519-nucleotide ribosomal RNA is filed under the name uncultured eukaryote. RNAcentral's name for it is "bacterial SSU rRNA". It matches the Rfam family "Eukaryotic small subunit ribosomal RNA", at positions 22 to 548 of the family's 1831-position model. The record is from RNAcentral.